AGCUUGUUGGUGGGGUGAUGGCCUACCAAGGCGACGACGGGUAGCCGGCCUGAGAGGGCGACCGGCCACACUGGGACUGAGACACGGCCCAGACUCCUACGGGAGGCAGCAGUGGGAAAUCUUGCGCAAUGGGCGAAAGCCUGACGCAGCGACGCCGCGUGAGGGAUGACGGCCUUCGGGUUGUAAACCUCUUUCAGCCCUGACGAAGCGAAAGUGACGGUAGGGGCAGAAGAAGCACCGGCCAACUACGUGCCAGCAGCCGCGGUAAUACGUAGGGUGCGAGCGUUGUCCGGAAUUAUUGGGCGUAAAGAGCUCGUAGGCGGUUUGUCGCGUCGGCUGUGAAAACUCGGGGCUCAACCCCGAGCUUGCAGUCGAUACGGGCAAGCUAGAGUUCGGCAGGGGAGACUGGAAUUCCUGGUGUAGCGGUGAAAUGCGCAGAUAUCAGGAGGAACACCGGUGGCGAAGGCGGGUCUCUGGGCCGAUACUGACGCUGAGGAGCGAAAGCGUGGGGAGCGAACAGGAUUAGAUACCCUGGUAGUCCACGCCGUAAACGUUGGGCGCUAGGUGUGGGAUCCCUUCCACGGGUUCCGUGCCGCAGCUAACGCAUUAAGCGCCCCGCCU
Molecule: ribosomal RNA, 621 nt
Filed under: uncultured Actinomycetes bacterium
Lineage: Bacteria; Bacillati; Actinomycetota; Actinomycetes
Description: SSU rRNA
Rfam family: Bacterial small subunit ribosomal RNA
Source: RNAcentral